Molecule: long non-coding RNA, 684 nt
Organism: Chenopodium quinoa (quinoa)
Lineage: Eukaryota; Viridiplantae; Streptophyta; Magnoliopsida; Caryophyllales; Amaranthaceae
Exons: 4
Source: RefSeq, a predicted model, not a curated record
AACAGAGUUGCAACAAAUUCAACAUCCAAAAUCGACCCUUCAAUCCAACAAAUUCGCCCAAAAAACACCCACAAAUUCGCUCAAAAAACUGCAAUUCCCCAGCAAAUUCAACAUCCAAAAUCGCAAUCAAGUUCAACACCCAUAAUCGGCAGCAAAUCCGAGCAAUUUCGAGCAAAAAUUUAGACCAAAAACCCUAAUUAUUUUGAAUCCUUAAACCCCAGAAAAAUUGAUUAUUUUCGACCAAAAAUCCCCCAUUUCGAGCAAAAAAUGUACUCAAUUCCAUACGAAUUCGAACCCUAGAAACCCCAAAAAAUUCAAUUAAAAAUCCUGCUGAAAAAAUUCGAGCAAUAACUGAAAUUUUUGAGUGGAAAAAUCGCUGAAUUUUCGCCCCCAAAUACCCGAGGAAGUUCAAGCAAAUUACAGAAGUGUUGAAUUUUUGAAUUUUCGAGUGGAAAAAUUGCUUAAUUUCGCCCCCAAAAAUCGAUUUUGGCUCGACAUUGUUGAAUUUUUGAAAUCAAGUUCACCUAUGGGACUGUUUUCCGUGAGCCAAUCUUGUGUAAGAACAUUCCUAGGAUUGUUUCUGACAUGCUUUUGGUGAUCAAUAUCGAGCCACUGAUACACUCAUCCCAGGUCUUGGAAAGCUUAAAUUGCUAUUCGUCCCAGAGGAUGGAAACUGGAAAGGAU